Manis pentadactyla (Chinese pangolin) is the source of this 380-nucleotide long non-coding RNA. RefSeq lists it as uncharacterized. Lineage: Eukaryota; Metazoa; Chordata; Mammalia; Pholidota; Manidae. The record is from RefSeq and is a predicted model, not a curated record. The transcript is spliced from 4 exons.
UUUUUCAACUCUUGGAACAAUAUUAUGAUCAGUGAAUGAUUACAGAAUGAAGAUUGUAAAUGAAGAUUCCAUCCUAGAAAAAAACCUGAAUGAAAUAAUGAACUAAUAUCCAAGAAGGGACAAGUCCUGAAUAAAAGGUUGGUCCAAAGAGGUUACUUCAAUUUUCUUGCUGAUGUCCAGUUACUCCAUGUCCUCCCUAAAUGCCUCUGUGUCACCAGCGGUAAGGAAGGAAUACAGUACACCUUGGAAAAAGGAUCCUGUCAUCUUUGUAAAUCACAGAAUGUAGGAUGUUUCAGUUAUUGGAAUUGAAGAAUAGCAGAAUUUAUGGAUAGAGAAAUAUCUUUGAUGGCAACCAUAACUGUAUUCGAAUCAAGUCAAUA